Molecule: ribosomal RNA, 501 nt
Filed under: uncultured bacterium
Lineage: Bacteria
Description: partial 16S ribosomal RNA
Rfam family: Bacterial small subunit ribosomal RNA
Source: RNAcentral
AUUGAACGCUGGCGGCAUGCCUUACACAUGCAAGUCGAACGGCAGCACGGGUGCCUGCACCUGGUGGCGAGUGGCGAACGGGUGAGUAAUACAUCGGAACGUACCUUAUCGUGGGGGAUAACGCAGCGAAAGCUGUGCUAAUACCGCAUACGCCCUGAGGGGGAAAGCGGGGGAUCGCAAGACCUCGCGCGAUUAGAGCGGCCGAUGCCUGAUUAGCUAGUUGGUGGGGUAAAAGCCCACCAAGGCGACGAUCAGUAGCUGGUCUGAGAGGACGAUCAGCCACACUGGGACUGAGACACGGCCCAGACUCCUACGGGAGGCAGCAGUGGGGAAUUUUGGACAAUGGGGGCAACCCUGAUCCAGCAAUGCCGCGUGAGUGAAGAAGGCCCUCGGGUUGUAAAGCUCUUUUGUCAGGGAAGAAACACCGGCUCUAACACAGUCCGGGAAUGACGGUACCUGAAGAAUAAGCACCGGCUAACUACGUGCCAGCCGCCGCCGUAA